GACGAACGCUGGCGGCGUGCUUAACACAUGCAAGUCGAACGGAAAGGCCCUGCUUUUGUGGGGUGCUCGAGUGGCGAACGGGUGAGUAACACGUGAGUAACCUGCCCUUGACUUUGGGAUAACUUCAGGAAACUGGGGCUAAUACCGGAUAGGAGCUCCUGCUGCAUGGUGGGGGUUGGAAAGUUUCGGCGGUUGGGGAUGGACUCGCAGCUUAUCAGCUUGUUGGUGGGGUAGUGGCUUACCAAGGCUUUGACGGGUAGCCGGCCUGAGAGGGUGACCGGCCACAUUGGGACUGAGAUACGGCCCAGACUCCUACGGGAGGCAGCAGUGGGGAAUAUUGCACAAUGGGCGGAAGCCUGAUGCAGCAACGCCGCGUGCGGGAUGAUGGCCUUCGGGUUGUAAACCGCUUUCGCCUGUGACGAAGCAUGAGUGACGGUAAUGGGUAAAGAAGCACCGGCUAACUACGUG
Molecule: ribosomal RNA, 468 nt
Filed under: uncultured bacterium
Lineage: Bacteria
Description: partial 16S ribosomal RNA
Rfam family: Bacterial small subunit ribosomal RNA
Source: RNAcentral